GGGGCUAUCAUCUAAUUGGUUAGGAUGCAAGUUUUUCAAGCUUGUCAUGGGGGUUCAAAUCCCCCUAGCCCUA
This 73-nucleotide transfer RNA is filed under the name Crassvirales sp. Its description in RNAcentral is "tRNA-Glu". It matches the Rfam family "tRNA". Rfam says of the family: Transfer RNA (tRNA) molecules are approximately 80 nucleotides in length. Their secondary structure includes four short double-helical elements and three loops (D, anti-codon, and T loops). Lineage: Duplodnaviria; Heunggongvirae; Uroviricota; Caudoviricetes; Crassvirales. The record is from RNAcentral.